Molecule: ribosomal RNA, 117 nt
Filed under: Sinocyclocheilus rhinocerous
Lineage: Eukaryota; Metazoa; Chordata; Actinopteri; Cypriniformes; Cyprinidae
Source: RNAcentral
UGCUGUAGCCAUAUCACCCUGCAGCCCAAGACUGGUUGCCCACUGAAGCUAAGCAGGGUUGAGCCUGGUCAGUACCUGGAUGCGAGACCUCCUGGGAAAACUAGGUUGCUGCUGGAA